UUMCAUGCAAGUCGAACGGCAGCACGGACUUCGGUCUGGUGGCGAGUGGCGAACGGGUGAGUAAUGUAUCGGAACGUACCAUUCAGUGGGGGAUAACGUAGCGAAAGUUACGCUAAUACCGCAUAUUCUCUCCGGAGGAAAGCAGGGGACCGCAAGGCCUUGCGCUGAUUGAGCGGCCGAUAUCAGAUUAGCUAGUUGGUGGGGUAACGGCUCACCAAGGCGACGAUCUGUAGCGGGUCUGAGAGGAUGAUCCGCCACACUGGAACUGAGACACGGUCCAGACUCCUACGGGAGGCAGCAGUGGGGAAUUUUGGACAAUGGGCGCAAGCCUGAUCCAGCCAUGCCGCGUGAGUGAAGAAGGCCUUCGGGUUGUAAAGCUCUUUCGGCCGGGAAAACUCGCAUGGGCUAAUACCCUGUGUGGAUGAUGGUACCGGAAUAAGAAGCACCGGCUAACUACGUGCCAGCAGCCGCGGUAAUACGUAGGGUGCGAGCGUUAAUCGGAAUUACUGGGCGUAAAGCGUGCGCAGGCGGUUUUGUAAGACAGGCGUGAAAUCCCCGGGCUCAACCUGGGAGCUGCGCUUGUGACUGCAAGGCUAGAGUAUGGCAGAGGGGGGUGGAAUUCCACGUGUAGCAGUGAAAUGCGUAGAGAUGUGGAGGAACACCGAUGGCGAAGGGCAGCCCCCUGGGCCAAUACUGACGCUCAUGCACGAAAGCGUGGGUAGCAAACAGGAUUAGAUACCCUGGUAGUCCACGCCCUAAACGAUGUCAACUAGGUGUUGGGUGGGUAAAACCAUUUAGUACCGGAGCUAACGCGUGAAGUUGACCGCCUGGGGAGUACGGCCGCAAGGUUAAAACUCAAAGGAAUUGACGGGGACCCGCACAAGCGGUGAUGAUGUGGAUUAAUUCGAUGCAACGCG
RNAcentral lists this ribosomal RNA (917 nucleotides) under uncultured beta proteobacterium. RNAcentral's name for it is "bacterial SSU rRNA". It matches the Rfam family "Bacterial small subunit ribosomal RNA", at positions 51 to 963 of the family's 1533-position model. Lineage: Bacteria; Pseudomonadati; Pseudomonadota; Betaproteobacteria. The record is from RNAcentral.